RNAcentral lists this long non-coding RNA (399 nucleotides) under Oryctolagus cuniculus (rabbit). Its description in RNAcentral is "lncRNA (ENSOCUG00000034181.1)". Lineage: Eukaryota; Metazoa; Chordata; Mammalia; Lagomorpha; Leporidae. The record is from RNAcentral.
AAUCCAGUGGGCUGUAAUUCUACAGAAGCAUCACUGAAGGACAGAGUGGCACUACCAUACCAAAUCCUGCUUAAAUCAUGGCAGCAAAGUCUGCCGCUAGUCGUGCAUCCAAACCCAAACUCAGUUCUGCUCUUCCCAGUAUUUCCAAGGUUUCUGCUCCUGAUGCUGAUUUUAUUCUCUUAUCCUUGUUGAUAAUGAACGUAUUUAUUGUACUGGAUCUACUGAUGUUAAGAACUGACACUUGGUGGGAUGCAACGAACAGGAUGACAUGCUUUUUACAUCAAUUUCUGUGAAGGCAAUCAUUAAGAGGUGUUAAAAACCAAAGCGUAGGAGGAAAACAUCAUUUAAAAAAAAAAAAAAAACAUUUGAUAGCAGACAAACCACUCUGGGACAUAACAA